GGCAUAAAAAAGGGAUAGAACUGGUAUAAAAAGGACGGAAGUGGUAGGAGAAAGGAUGGAAGUGGUAUAAACAGGGGGUGGAAGUGCUAUAAAAGGGGGAUGGAAAUGGUGUAAAAAGGGAUGGAAGAGGCAUAAAAAAGGGAUGGAAAUGGUAUAAAAAGGGACAGAAACAGUGUAAAGAAGGGACGGAACUGGCAUAAAAAAGGAUGGAAUUGGUAUAAAAAAGGAUGGAAGUGGCAGGAAAAAGGAUGGAACUGGCAAAAAAAGGGAUGGAAAUGGCAUAAAAACAGGAUGGAAAGGGCAUAGAAAAGGGAUGGAACUGACAUAAAAAUGGAUGAAAAUGGUAUAAAAAGGGGUGGAAACUGCAUAAAAAAAGCAUGAAACUGGUAUAAAAAAAUACGGAACUGGCAUAAAAAAUGAUGCAAGUGGCAGUAAAAGCACCUGCGGGUCCCCAGUGCCCAGUGCUCGUUACCCCUUGCAUGGUGCAUGGUGCUCUUUACCCAUUUUACGGAGCUCAUUGCCCAUUGCACAUUGCAUGGUGCUCUUUACCUAUUGCACAGUGCCCAUUACCCAUUGCACAGUGCUCGUUACCCCUUCCAUGGUGCUCUUUACCUAUUGCACAGUGCACGGUGCCCGUUACCCAUUGCACAGUGCUCGUUAUCCCUUCCAUGGUGCUCUUUACCUAUUGCACAGUGCCCAUUACCCAUUGCACGGUGCUCGUUACCCUUGCACGG
Molecule: long non-coding RNA, 734 nt
Filed under: Anser cygnoides (Swan goose)
Lineage: Eukaryota; Metazoa; Chordata; Aves; Anseriformes; Anatidae
Description: lncRNA (ENSACDG00005010912.1)
Source: RNAcentral